GCCGGAGUGGCGAAAUUGGUAUACGCACUAGACUCAAAAUCUAGCGGGCCUUCACCGGCCCAUGUCGGUUCGAGUCCGACCUCCGGCACCA
Molecule: transfer RNA, 91 nt
Filed under: Pseudomonadota bacterium
Lineage: Bacteria; Pseudomonadati; Pseudomonadota
Also listed under: 2 other names
Description: tRNA-Leu
Rfam family: tRNA
About the family: Transfer RNA (tRNA) molecules are approximately 80 nucleotides in length. Their secondary structure includes four short double-helical elements and three loops (D, anti-codon, and T loops).
Source: RNAcentral